This 1245-nucleotide ribosomal RNA is filed under the name metagenome. Its description in RNAcentral is "bacterial LSU rRNA". It matches the Rfam family "Bacterial large subunit ribosomal RNA", at positions 1564 to 2818 of the family's 2925-position model. The record is from RNAcentral.
UGAGUACGAGAUGCUACGGCAUCGAAGCAGUCUAUGUCAUACUUCCAAGGAAAGCUUGCACUGUCAUAAACAAAGAAUGCCUGUACCAUAACCGACACAGGUGGGUAGGUAGAGUAUACUAAGGGGCGCGAGAUAACUCUCUCUAAGGAACUCGGCAAAAUGACUCCGUAACUUCGGGAGAAGGAGGUGCCUUAUUUCUAAGGUUGCAAUAACAAGAUCCAAGCAACUGUUUACCAAAAACACAGGUCUCCGCUAAGUCGUAAGACGAUGUAUGGGGGCUGACGCCUGCCCAGUGCCAGAAGGUUAAAGAAGUUGGUUAGCAUUAGCGAAGCUGAUAACUGAAGCCCUGGUGAACGGCGGCCGUAACAAUAACGGUCCUAAGGUAGCGAAAUUCCUUGUCGGGUAAGUUCCGACCCGCACGAAAGGCGUAAUGAUUUGGAUACUGUCUCGGAGAGGGGCUCGGUGAAAUAGACUUGUCUGUGAAGAUGCGGACUACCUGCACCUGGACAGAAAGACCCUAUGAAGCUUUACUGUAACUUGAGAUUGAAAUUGGACUUUAUUUGCGCAGUAUAGGUGGGAGGCGUUGAGAAUAAUCUUGCGGGAUUGUUGGAGCCAUCAGUGAGAUACCACUCUUGUAAUGUUAGAUUUCUAACUUUGUAUCAUUAUCUGGUCAAAGAACAGUUUCAGGCGGGCAGUUUGACUGGGGCGGUCGCCUCCCAAAGGGUAACGGAGGCGCACAAAGGUUUCCUCUGAACGGGUAGAAAUCGUAUCUAGAGUGUAAAGGCAUAAGGAAGCUUGACUGUGAGACCUACAAGUCGAGCAGGGACGAAAGUCGGUCUUAGUGAUCUGACGGUGCUGAGUGGAAAGGCCGUCACUCAACGGAUAAAAGUUACUCUAGGAUAACAGGCUGAUCUCCCCCAAGAGUUCACAUCGACGGGGAGGUUUGGCACCUCGAUGUCGGCUCAUCGCAUCCUGGGGCGGUAGUCCGUCCCAAGGGUUGGGCUGUUCGCCCAUGAAAGCGGUACGCGAGCUGGGUUCAGAACGUCGUGAGACAGUUCGGUCCAUAUCCGGUGUAGGCGUUAGAAUAUUGAGAGGAGCCUUCUCUAGUACGAGAGGACCGAGAAGGACAUACCUCUGGUGUACCAGUUAUCGUGCCAACGGUAAACGCUGGGUAGCUAUGUAUGGAGUGGAUAACCGCUGAAAGCAUCUAAGUGGGAAGCCCACCUCAAGAUAAGUAUUCUCAUC